This 497-nucleotide ribosomal RNA is filed under the name uncultured bacterium. Its description in RNAcentral is "partial 16S ribosomal RNA". It matches the Rfam family "Bacterial small subunit ribosomal RNA", at positions 28 to 507 of the family's 1533-position model. The record is from RNAcentral.
GACGAACGCUGGCGGCGUGCCUAAUACAUGCAAGUCGAGCGAACAGGCGCCUACCUUGCUCCUCUGACGGUAGCGGCGGCCAGGGGAGUAACAACUCGUUAACCUCCCUAUAACACUUGGAUGACUACGGGAAGCCGGUGCUACUAACGCAUAAUAUAUUGAACCUGAUGGUUCAUGAGUCUGGGACGGUUUUUCUGUCACUUAUAGAUGGACCCGCGCCGCAUUAGCUAGUUGGUAAGGUAACGGCGUACCAAGGCAGCGAUGCGUAGCCGACCUGAGAGGGUGAUCGACGACCACGGAGGGGAGACGAGGCCGAGAAGCCUACGGGAGGCAGCAGUAGGGAAGAUUACGCAAUGGGCGAAAGAAUGAUGGAGCAACGACGCGUGAGUGAUGAAGGUCGUCGUAUCGUAAUAAUCUGUUAUUAGGGAAGAAGAAAUGUGGCAGUAACUAUGCACGUCUUGACGGUACCUGGUUAGAAAGCCACGGCUAACUACGUG